Panthera uncia (snow leopard) is the source of this 716-nucleotide long non-coding RNA. RefSeq lists it as uncharacterized. The record is from RefSeq and is a predicted model, not a curated record. The transcript has 3 exons. Lineage: Eukaryota; Metazoa; Chordata; Mammalia; Carnivora; Felidae.
AGGGAGACACAGAAUCUGAAGCAGGCUCCAGGCUCUGAGCUGUCAGCACACAGCCCGAUGCGGGGCUCGAGCUCACGAGCUGUGAGAUCAUGACCUGAGCUGAAGUUGGAUGUUCAACCUACUGAGCCACCCAGGCGCCCCGCCAUGGCCGUUUUUAUUAUGGUUGUCUUCCUUCAGGACUCUCCUGGGGUCAACGAAAAUAAUAGUUUGCUGGAAUCUCUAUUUUUAAUCCGGAAUUAUGAUAUCCACCCACACAGAAAGAAGACAUCAUGACUAGUGCCACCAUGAGCCACUGUUCGCUUUGGUGUUGGCCACCCUACUGCUCUCUGGGACAUAGGAAGACAGCCUCCUGAACUGGCAGCAAUUGAGGAUAUAGAUGGACAAACCUCAAUUUCCUUUACUCCUUUGGCUCCUGUUUCCACUUAGCACAGAUGUUCUAUAAAGAAUUAUAAGAGUCCCUGGAGUUCUUGCCAAGAAGAUGCUGUUGAGGUCUACAUUAUCUACUACUCAUUGAUUGCUGAAAAUAUAAUCAUCAACUCAAUCAGAAAAUUUCAUUAAAAACCAAACAGAUGAAACAAUUUGACUAACUCUUCUUUGAGCUACAGAAGAAAAAGAACAUCUAUUAGAAAAAUAAACAGCAAUCAUGAAUAAAGUAUCUUGUUUUUAAUCUAGUCUUUUUAUAAGAUUGUCUCUAUUUCUAAAUUGUAGUUAUUCAU